GUACACUCCUGCGGGAGGCAGCAGUGGGGAAUUUUGGACAAUGGGCGAAAGCCUGAUCCAGCAAUGCCGCGUGAGUGAAGAAGGCCUUCGGGUUGUAAAGCUCUUUUGUCAGGGAAGAAACGGUGAAAGCUAAUAUCUUUUGCUAAUGACGGUACCUGAAGAAUAAGCACCGGCUAACUACGUGCCAGCAGCCGCGGUAAUACGUAGGGUGCAAGCGUUAAUCGGAAUUACUGGGCGUAAAGCGUGCGCAGGCGGUUUUGUAAGUCUGAUGUGAAAUCCCCGGGCUCAACCUGGGAAUUGCAUUGGAGACUGCAAGGCUAGAAUCUGGCAGAGGGGGGUAGAAUUCCACGUGUAGCAGUGAAAUGCGUAGAUAUGUGGAGGAACACCGAUGGCGAAGGCAGCCCCCUGGGUCAAGAUUGACGCUCAUGCACGAAAGCGUGGGGAGCAAACAGGAUUAGAAACCCUGGUAGUCCCA
Molecule: ribosomal RNA, 475 nt
Filed under: uncultured organism
Description: partial 16S ribosomal RNA
Rfam family: Bacterial small subunit ribosomal RNA
Source: RNAcentral